Molecule: ribosomal RNA, 500 nt
Filed under: uncultured bacterium
Lineage: Bacteria
Description: partial 16S ribosomal RNA
Rfam family: Bacterial small subunit ribosomal RNA
Source: RNAcentral
AUUGAACGCUGGCGGCAUGCUUUACACAUGCAAGUCGAACGGCAGCACGGACUUCGGUCUGGUGGCGAGUGGCGAACGGGUGAGUAAUACAUCGGAACGUACCCAGUAAUGGGGGAUAACUAUCCGAAAGGAUAGCUAAUACCGCAUACGCCCUACGGGGGAAAGAGGGGGAUCGCAAGACCUCUUGUUAUUGGAGCGGCCGAUGGCUGAUUAGCUAGUUGGUGAGGUAAAGGCUCACCAAGGCGACGAUCAGUAGCGGGUCUUAGAGGACGAUCCGCCACACUGGAACUGAGACACGGUCCAGACUCCUACGGGAGGCAGCAGUGGGGAAUCUUGGACAAUGGGCGCAAGCCUGAUCCAGCAAUGCCGCGUGCGUGAAGAAGGCCUUCGGGUUGUAAAGCGCUUUUGUCAGGGAGCAAAAGGUGGUGGCUAAUAUCCAUCGCUCUUGAGAGUACCUGAAGAAUAAGGACCGGCUAACUACGUGCCAGCCGCCGCCGUAA